UGCCGCGUGUGUGAAGAAGGCCUUAGGGUUGUAAAGCACUUUAAGCAGGAAAGAAAAGCGCCGGGUUAAUACCCCGAGCGUAUUGACGGUACCUGCAGAAUAAGCACCGGCUAACUCCGUGCCAGCAGCCGCGGUAAUACGGAGGGUGCAAGCGUUAAUCGGAAUUACUGGGCGUAAAGCGAGUGCAGGCGGUCGCGUGUGUCGGGUGUGAAAGCCCCGGGCUCAACCUGGAAAUUGCAUCCGAAACUGCGUGACUAGAAUAUGGUAAAGGAAGACGGAAUUCCACGUGUAGCGGUGAAAUGCGUAAAUAUGUGGAGGAACACCAAUGGCAAAGGCAGUCUUCUGGGCCAAUAUUGACGCUGAGGCUCGAAAGCGUGGGUAGCAAACAGGAUUAGAUACCCUGGUAGUCCACGCCGUAAACGCUGAGAACUAGACGUUGGCUGACAUAGUCGGCCAGUGUCGCAGCUAACGCGUUAAGUUCUCCGCCUGGGGAGUACGGCCGCAAGGUUGAAACUCAAAGAAAUUGGACGGG
Molecule: ribosomal RNA, 532 nt
Filed under: uncultured Salinisphaera sp.
Lineage: Bacteria; Pseudomonadati; Pseudomonadota; Gammaproteobacteria; Salinisphaerales; Salinisphaeraceae
Description: bacterial SSU rRNA
Rfam family: Bacterial small subunit ribosomal RNA
Source: RNAcentral